Camelus ferus (Wild Bactrian camel) is the source of this 72-nucleotide transfer RNA. It matches the Rfam family "tRNA". Rfam says of the family: Transfer RNA (tRNA) molecules are approximately 80 nucleotides in length. NCBI's taxonomy places the organism in Eukaryota, Metazoa, Chordata, Mammalia, Artiodactyla, Camelidae. The record is from Rfam.
GGGGGUAUAGCUCAGUGGUAGAGCAGAUGCUUGGCAUGCACAAGUUCCUAGGUUCAAUCCCCAGUACCUCUG